GAUGAAGAACGUAGUGAAAUGCGAUACUUGGUGUGAAUUGCAGUAUCCCGUGAACCAUCGAGUUUUUGAACGCAAGUUGCGCCCGAAGCCGUUAGGCCGAGGGCACGCCUGCCUGGGUGUCACACAUCGUUGCCCCAAUGCCAAUCGCCUCACUUUGUAGGUAUUUGCUUGGGGUGAAUGUUGGCCUCCCGUGAGCUUUGUCUCACGGUUGGUUGAAAAUCGAGUGCAUGGUGUUGGGUGUACCAUGAUGGAUGGUGGUUGAGUGAUGAUGCUCGAGACCAAUCAUGGGUAACUCCACCAGAAUUGGGCUCGGUGACCCACAUGCGUCCCUUGGAUGCUCCCUAAGGAGACCUCAGGUCAGGCGGGGCUACCCGCUGAGUUUAAGCAUAUCAAUAAGCGGAGGA
RNAcentral lists this unclassified non-coding RNA (404 nucleotides) under soil metagenome. RNAcentral describes it as "partial contains 5.8S ribosomal RNA, internal transcribed spacer 2, and large subunit ribosomal RNA". The stretch from base 1 to 122 matches the Rfam family "5.8S ribosomal RNA", at positions 35 to 154 of the family's 154-position model. The record is from RNAcentral.